RNAcentral lists this ribosomal RNA (432 nucleotides) under uncultured bacterium. RNAcentral's name for it is "bacterial SSU rRNA". It matches the Rfam family "Bacterial small subunit ribosomal RNA", at positions 338 to 787 of the family's 1533-position model. The record is from RNAcentral.
CCUACGGGGGGCAGCAGUGGGGAAUAUUGGACAAUGGGCGCAAGCCUGAUCCAGCAAUGCCGCGUGAGUGAUGAAGGCCUUCGGGUUGUAAAGCUCUUUCGCACGCGACGAUGAUGACGGUAGCGUGAGAAGAAGCCCCGGCUAACUUCGUGCCAGCAGCCGCGGUAAUACGAAGGGGGCUAGCGUUGUUCGGAAUUACUGGGCGUAAAGGGCGCGUAGGCGGUACUUCAAGUCAGGCGUGAAAGCCCCGGGCUCAACCUGGGAACCGCGCUUGAGACUGGAGAACUAGAGUUCGGGAGAGGAUGGUGGAAUUCCCAGUGUAGAGGUGAAAUUCGUAGAUAUUGGGAAGAACACCGAUGGCGAAGGCAGCCAUCUGGACCGACACUGACGCUGAGGCGCGAAAGCGUGGGGAGCAAACAGGAUUAGAUACCC